AGUGAACGCUGGCGGUAGGCCUAACACAUGCAAGUCGAACGGCAGCACAGUAAGAGCUUGCUCUUACGGGUGGCGAGUGGCGGACGGGUGAGGAAUACAUCGGAAUCUACUUUUUCGUGGGGGAUAACGUAGGGAAACUUACGCUAAUACCGCAUACGACCUACGGGUGAAAGCAGGGGAUCUUCGGACCUUGCGCGAUUGAAUGAGCCGAUGUCGGAUUAGCUAGUUGGCGGGGUAAAGGCCCACCAAGGCGACGAUCCGUAGCUGGUCUGAGAGGAUGAUCAGGCAACACGGAAACUGAGACAGGUCCAAAACUCCAAGGGGGGGAGACAUGGGGAAAUUUUGGCAAUUGGGGGAAGCCUGAUCCAGCCAAACCGCGUGGGUGAAGAAGGGCUUCCGGUUUGAAAACCCCUUUUUUGGGGAAGAAAAAGAAGCAGGUUAAUCCCCCGCGUUUUGAACGGAACCAAAAAAAAAAGCACGGCUAAAUUCGGG
Molecule: ribosomal RNA, 492 nt
Filed under: uncultured bacterium
Lineage: Bacteria
Description: partial 16S ribosomal RNA
Rfam family: Bacterial small subunit ribosomal RNA
Source: RNAcentral